CGGGGUGUGGCGCAGCUUGGUAGCGCGUCCGCUUUGGGAGCGGAAGGUCGUCGGUUCGAAUCCGGCCACCCCCCCGACCA
This 80-nucleotide transfer RNA is filed under the name Streptomyces sp. SID7803. RNAcentral's name for it is "tRNA-Pro". It matches the Rfam family "tRNA". Rfam says of the family: Transfer RNA (tRNA) molecules are approximately 80 nucleotides in length. Their secondary structure includes four short double-helical elements and three loops (D, anti-codon, and T loops). Further hydrogen bonds mediate the characteristic L-shaped molecular structure. tRNAs have two regions of fundamental functional importance: the anti-codon, which is responsible for specific mRNA codon recognition, and the 3' end, to which the tRNAs corresponding amino acid is attached (by aminoacyl-tRNA synthetases). tRNAs cope with the degeneracy of the genetic code in two manners: having more than one tRNA (with a specific anti-codon) for a particular amino acid; and 'wobble' base-pairing, i.e. permitting non-standard base-pairing at the 3rd anti-codon position. The record is from RNAcentral. Lineage: Bacteria; Bacillati; Actinomycetota; Actinomycetes; Kitasatosporales; Streptomycetaceae.